GAUGAACGCUGGCGGCGUGCCUAAUACAUGCAAGUCGAGCGAACGGACGAGAAGCUUGCUUUUCUGAUGUUAGCGGCGGACGGGUGAGUAACACGUGGAUAACCUACCUAUAAGACUGGGAUAACUUCGGGAAACCGGAGCUAAUACCGGAUAAUAUUUUGAACCGCAUGGUUCAAAAGUGAAAGACGGUCUUGCUGUCACUUAUAGAUGGAUCCGCGCUGCAUUAGCUAGUUGGUAAGGUAACGGCUUACCAAGGCAACGAUGCAUAGCCGACCUGAAAGGGUGAUCGGCCACACUGGAACUGAGACACGGUCCAGACUCCUACGGUAGGCAGCAGUAGGGAAUCUUCCGCAAUGGGCGAAAACCUGACGGAGCAACGCCGCGUGAGUUAUGAAGGUCUUCGGAUCGUAAAACUCUGUUAUUAGGGAAGAACAUAUGUGUAAGUAACUGUGCACAUCUUGACGGUACCUAAUCAGAAAGCCACGGCUAACUACGUG
RNAcentral lists this ribosomal RNA (497 nucleotides) under uncultured bacterium. RNAcentral's name for it is "partial 16S ribosomal RNA". It matches the Rfam family "Bacterial small subunit ribosomal RNA", at positions 28 to 507 of the family's 1533-position model. The record is from RNAcentral.